AGGAAGCAGAAGAGAAAUAAGAAAGGGAGGAACCAUCUGCAUGGGUGGAAACACUGACAAUGGACCCAAGUGUCAUGCAAAUCUCGCGGCUCAACACUGACAAUGAACCCAAGUGUCAUGUUUUGCAUAGGCAAUAGCUCCGAUCUGAACUUCUACAAAAAGCAACCAAACAUUCUUCAAAGAAAAGGCAACUAUAUUUGUUUUAGCAAUGCCAAAC
This 217-nucleotide long non-coding RNA is filed under the name Setaria italica (foxtail millet). RNAcentral describes it as "long non-coding RNA (SITA_LNC005177)". Lineage: Eukaryota; Viridiplantae; Streptophyta; Magnoliopsida; Poales; Poaceae. The record is from RNAcentral.